GGGUAGCAAGAAAUUUCAUAGGUUGUGGGCACACGGCUGGAUGGUCGAUAGCUGGAAAGUUUACCACAGGUCUUCAUGUUGUCCAGAAGCCAUGUUCUGUGUUGGCUGGGCAAGCGGAGUCUAUUACCACAGUUCAUACCAGCAGUGUAGAAAGUAGUGGAUGAGGUAACAGGAACAUGGCAGUAACUCCCGAGAGGAGAACCAUAGUUUCCAGAAGAGCAAAUGUUGGAUGGCAUGGUGAUAUGAACACACUUCAGAUAUAUCUUGCAGGCCAUCAUCACCUCCAGAGAUACAGCUUAUGCUGACUUGACAAUCCUGGAUAUUUAUCAACCAAUACGAAUUUCAUAAA
This is a long non-coding RNA of Canis lupus familiaris (dog), 349 nucleotides long. RefSeq lists it as uncharacterized. The transcript has 2 exons. The record is from RefSeq and is a predicted model, not a curated record. Lineage: Eukaryota; Metazoa; Chordata; Mammalia; Carnivora; Canidae.